RNAcentral lists this long non-coding RNA (296 nucleotides) under Homo sapiens (human). RNAcentral's name for it is "HSALNT0128961". Lineage: Eukaryota; Metazoa; Chordata; Mammalia; Primates; Hominidae. The record is from RNAcentral.
UUCCUCUUCCUCCUCAGCUUUCUCAAUGUAAAGACAGUAAGGAUGAAGACCUUUAUGAUGAUCCACUUCCACUUAAUGAAUGAUCAUCAGGCUAGCACAGUACAUAGGAAGCAAUCAAGAAAUACUGAAAGAAUGAAAGAAUGAACGAACGAACAAACGAAGAGACUUAAGCCUGUGAAAGUUGAUGAGACAACUAAAGGAGAUAAUGGAGAGGACAGAACACUGGAACAAUAUCCACCUUGAGGGAGCAGGAAGAAAGAAGCUAGUGAAGGAAACAGAAUGAACAAUCAAAGAGG